This is a long non-coding RNA of Brienomyrus brachyistius, 376 nucleotides long. RefSeq lists it as uncharacterized. The record is from RefSeq and is a predicted model, not a curated record. Lineage: Eukaryota; Metazoa; Chordata; Actinopteri; Osteoglossiformes; Mormyridae. The transcript has 3 exons.
GCAUGACUGAUUAGACAGCUGUCCUUCUCAGAUCCAGAAGCCAUCCAUACAUCUCCCAUUCUCCUCCAAGUACAACAAUGGGCCAAGGAAGAACCAUGUCGAACUUGGUACAGAAGCUGAUGCGGGAAGGAUCCUGCACCUAUCGAUCCCCUUCUGAGCCCCCGCUUACUGUCUGAAAAACAUGGAGGAAAAAACACAGUCCAGGGCUGUAUAGCUAAUACGGAAAACAUUAUGAAUGUCCCACAAAGAUGAUCCAUCCAAGAGCAGCACAGGCCUGUAGGGAGAGCUGAGUUCCCAUCUAGCUCUUGCUGAUUUAGCAUCUCAUCCCCCGUUCCUGAGUCAUGGAAACAUGUGCUGAUUACAAAACAAAUUAACC